Molecule: microRNA precursor, 60 nt
Filed under: Branchiostoma lanceolatum (amphioxus)
Lineage: Eukaryota; Metazoa; Chordata; Leptocardii; Amphioxiformes; Branchiostomatidae
Description: Bla-Mir-10-P10_pre stem-loop
Source: RNAcentral
AACCCUGUGGAUCCGAUCUUGUGUCGCUAUAAAAACCGCAAGGCUGGAUCGACAGGUUCA